Hippocampus comes (tiger tail seahorse) is the source of this 2719-nucleotide long non-coding RNA. RefSeq lists it as uncharacterized. The record is from RefSeq and is a predicted model, not a curated record. The transcript is spliced from 2 exons. NCBI's taxonomy places the organism in Eukaryota, Metazoa, Chordata, Actinopteri, Syngnathiformes, Syngnathidae.
UUAGUCAUGCUUAUACCAGAGCAAGAGGGCAUCAUCAAAACAAAUAAAAUUUUUAUUUCAAUCUCCAAAAAGUAAUUUUAACCCAAUCAGAUGAUCACAAAUGAAAGAUUUUAAGAACGUUGUCGACACAAAGACCAAGGCAGAAAGAAACAUUUGAUGUCAGUUGUAGGGCGGUGGCUAAAAUAGGUCCAAGAAUGCGGCGAUUGUGUGAAAUAGCAGCAACAAACGAAACACCAAGUGAGACAAAUACUAAUUUAAUAUCUCGCCCAGUCUCUCUCCCCUAAAAAGAAUCGGCUGCCUCAGUGAAGGGAGUCUUUUUGGCUCAGUUUACGAGGCCCUCUAGUGGCCACAGUAGGUAUGACUGCUACCUGUCGGGGAGUCCCAUGACAAAUCUCAAAUGUUGUUGAAAGUGAAGUAAAAAGCAGAAAUAUGCCAGUGGUCAAUGCGGUAUAAACCCUUACUAAUGCCACAACAACAGCCAAGAUUAAAUUGAUAAGCAAUUUCCUGUGUAGUGCGCUUAGCCUGCUAUGGCUACAUGAAAGAGUUGUAGUUAUUUUAGUUGAGUUUAAACUCUGCGUAAACUCUGCCAUCAUCCUGUCAGCUCUCUGUAGCGUAAUAAACUGUAACAUGCCUCUUGUUCUCGGGUCUCAGCUUCCGAUAGUGUUUUAUUUUCCAUCUCAAGUGAGGGCACUGCGUGUGCGCUGGAGGGGAGCCUCCCCGUGGAGCUCAUUAGAGUGCAUUUGAACUUGUCACGUUGAUUUUGGUCUUAGAUGACUUUGCAGACAGAAUAGAACCAUGCUUGCUUCAAAGACAAAAACGAGCUGGCAGUAAAAGGAAAUGGGUUGAAAUGAGGCAACGGUGAUGAUUGCGAGAGGGCAAUUUAGAAAAAAGAGAGGGAUAAUGAGUUCAACGCAUGUGCAUGACUGGCAGAAUAAUCACUUCAAAGUUGAAGAAGGCGGGUUACAAAGUAGAAGAAGAAAACACAUGAAGAAGGUGAUGAAAUAUGAUAUGACGUGUCAGAGAACAGGAAUUCAGUGGAUUGAAGUGAAUUGAGGAAGAGAUUUUAAGCAGUAUCAUUACUUGCUCAAUGAUGAAAAGAUAUUUCUGUUUUUUUUCCCGCUGAGUUGAUCAAAAGUGUUUGUUUAUAUUACACAAUAUUUGUUGCAGCACUCUGAGCAAACUGGCAGCUCUGCAGGCACUGGACCUACUCUGGAACCUAUUAAUAGUCCACCCCUCCUUUUGUUCAUGUAAUGCACAAGUGCACAAUAAUCCUCUGACAGUGGCUUUGUAGUUUGCGAUUCUUCAAAGGUCAAGUGGCCCUUGUCCAUGACCCUUUUAGUCUCCAUGUCAAGUCAAGUCAGUGUUCUGUAGAACUUUCAGUCUUUUGGACUACCCAAAGAAGAGAGCAUGGACCACAAUGGGGGGAAAAAAAAGAAAUUUGGGGGCAUUAUGCCCUCCACCAAAUCCCAAACUAUCACCUAUCUUGCUACGAAAGACAUCACCCUCCCAAGGAACACUCAAAAGAAAUGGAUGCUGUGGGGAGCUGGAGCCUUUCCCAGUUGACUUGGACGAGAGGUACAAAAAGAGACGGAGACCCUUCCAUAUUUACAGUCGAUACACCUUCUCACUGAGUGGGUACUGAACACACGCCUGGCUGCGCGGAAGUGAGGUGAGUGAACCGGGAGACUUUCAGUGAUUUAUUCUACUUUCUCUUAAAAUUGUCGGUAUUACUGCAUUGAAGCUGUUGAGGAAAUCUUUCGUGACGUCAUUCACUCUGACCUUGCUGUUUGUUACACUGCUUUUCGUUUCAUCUUCCUUCGUCAGUGUGACAAACUGGAUUUGAUCUCCAAAGGGCAGCGUCGGAUCAAUUUUCACACGGCAGAUCAUUUCUUUUCGUGCAAAAGCUGCUGUGCAGAAAGUCACUAGACUAGAGAACAUCCAGAGGAAUAUAAACCAGGACAGCAGCAUCAUGACUUUAAUGACUCCGCAAGCUGACCUGACGACUUGCUUCCUGACAUUUGCAUUUUCGGGUAGCAAAAUGCAACGAUGAAUAUUUCCCUAACAUAAGCAUUAUCAUCUCUUUUUUCCCCCACUAACCAGACGUCCAGCAUCAUUCUUCAAAAAGGUCCGGACAAAGAGUGACGCCAUGCAUCACAGAACCAUAUGGACCAGGGACAUGUUUUUUUUUUGGUCUCUUUAAAUGAGGACUAUGAAAACAUUGUGGUCUGGCAAUGCAACAAGCAACAAAGAGCUUUUCCGAAUGUCUGACACAUUUUUAUGAAUAAGUAACUGACAGCACACUGUUGCAUAAUUGAGCCAAUUAAACUAUGAAUCAAUUUUAAAAUCUACAGUCCAUGUUAAUAUGUAUCUGUUUUUACUUCCUGUUUUUUUCAUAAAGUAGUUCACUGCGACAAGCGAUGAAUGAAUAAUGCAGUUGGUCACAUCGUCUUAUGAUUUUCACUUAAUGUGCAUGAUUAAAAUAUGACUGUUCAUUUUUUUCUUGCCGCAUCCAAGGACGUCAACAUUUUGUUUUAUGUUUUAAACACGUCAUAAUUACACAUGCAGUGAGACAAAACUCAUUCAGAGAUGUAUUUAUUAUUUUGUUAAAACGGUGUUUAGACUUUGGUGAGGUUUUACACAUUGAGAUUGCUUUCCGCUGGCAAUGCACUUUUGUGAAUCAUCUGUAAAAUAACUUCAUUAAAAUCAUGAGGUGAGAUGA